This 253-nucleotide ribosomal RNA is filed under the name uncultured bacterium. RNAcentral's name for it is "partial 16S ribosomal RNA". It matches the Rfam family "Bacterial small subunit ribosomal RNA", at positions 524 to 776 of the family's 1533-position model. The record is from RNAcentral.
UACGUAGGGGGCGAGCGUUGUCCGGAUUUAUUGGGCGUAAAGAGCGUGUAGGCGGCCAGGUAGGUCUGCUGUGAAAACUCGAGGCUCAACCUCGAGACGUCGGCGGAAACCAUCUGGCUAGAGUCCGGAAGAGGAGAGUGGAAUUCCUGGUGUAGCGGUGAAAUGCGCAGAUAUCAGGAGGAACACCGGUGGCGAAGGCGGCGACCUGGACCGGUACUGACGCUGAGACGCGAAAGCGUGGGGAGCAAACAGG